CCUACGGGUGGCAGCAGUGAGGAAUAUUGGUCAAUGGACGCAAGUCUGAACCAGCCAAGUCGCGUGCAGGAAGACGGCUCUAUGGGUUGUAAACUUCUUUUAUAGGGGAAUAAAGGUAGACACGCGUGCAUAUUUGUAUGUACCUUAUGAAUAAGGAUCGGCUAACUCCGUGCCAGCAGCCGCGGUAAUACGGAGGAUGCGAGCGUUAUCCGGAUUUAUUGGGUUUAAAGGGUGCGUAGGUGGUUUGUUAAGUCAGAGGUGAAAGUCUGUGGCUCAACCUUAAAAUUGCAGUUGAAACUGGUAGACUUGAGUGUGGUUGAGGUAGGCGGAAUGCGUGGUGUAGCGGUGAAAUGCUUAGAGAUCACGCAGAACUCCGAUUGCGAAGGCAGCUUACUAAGCUACAACUGACACUGAGGCACGAAAGCGUGGGGAUCAAACAGGAUUAGAUACCCGAGUAGUC
RNAcentral lists this ribosomal RNA (460 nucleotides) under uncultured bacterium. Its description in RNAcentral is "partial 16S ribosomal RNA". It matches the Rfam family "Bacterial small subunit ribosomal RNA", at positions 338 to 795 of the family's 1533-position model. The record is from RNAcentral.